UACAGAGGUGGCAAGCGUUUGUUCGGAAUUACUGGGCGUAAAGGGCGCGUAGGCGGCCUUCUAAGUCAGACGUGAAAUCCCCCGGCUUAACCUGGGAACUGCGUCUGAUACUGGAGGGCUUGAGUAUGGGAGAGGGAUGUAGAAUUCCAGGUGUAGCGGUGAAAUGCGUAGAUAUCUGGAGGAAUACCGGUGGCGAAGGCGGCAUCCUGGACCAUUACUGACGCUGAGGCGCGAAAGCUAGGGGAGCAAACGGG
Molecule: ribosomal RNA, 254 nt
Filed under: uncultured bacterium
Lineage: Bacteria
Description: partial 16S ribosomal RNA
Rfam family: Bacterial small subunit ribosomal RNA
Source: RNAcentral